Molecule: non-coding RNA, 30 nt
Filed under: Homo sapiens (human)
Lineage: Eukaryota; Metazoa; Chordata; Mammalia; Primates; Hominidae
Source: RNAcentral
UUGAUUUCAUUGUUUCUCUAUCUCAACCCA